GAGUUUGAUCCUGGCUCAGGAUGAACGCUGGCGGCGUGCUUAAUACAUGCAAGUCGAACGGAGGACUUUUGUAGUAAUACAGGAGUUUCUCAGUGGCGAACGGGCGAGUAACGAGUUGGUGACCUGCCCCGAAGUGUGGGAUAACAGUCCGAAAGGAUUGCUAAUACCGCAUGUGAUCAUCGGUUUUAGAAUCUGAUGAUUAAAGCAGCAAUGCGCUUCGGGAGGGACCUGCUUCCCAUCAGCUAGUUGGUGAGGUAAUGGCCCACCAAGGCUACGACGGGUAAGGGACCUGAGAGGGUGGUCCCUCGCAAUGGCACUGAAACACGGGCCAUACACCUACGGGUGGCAGCAGUAGGGAAUAUUGGGCAAUGGGCGAAAGCCUGACCCAGCAACGCCGCGUGCACGAUGAAGGCCUUCGGGUCGUAAAGUGCUUUUCUGAGGAAUGAGUAAGGACAGUACCUCAGGAAUAAGCCUCGGCUAACUACGUGCCAGCAGCCGCGGUAAAACGUAGGAGGCAAGCGUUAUCCGGAUUUACUGGGCGUAAAGCGUGUGUAGGCGGUUCGGCAAGUUGGAUGUGAAAGCUCCUGGCUUAACUAGGAGAGGUCGUUCAAUACUACCGAACUUGAGGGCAUCAGAGGAAGGUGGAAUUCCCGGUGUAGUGGUGAAAUGCGUAGAUAUCGGGAGGAACACCAGUGGCGAAGGCGGCCUUCUGGGAUGUUCCUGACGCUCAGACACGAAAGCUAGGGUAGCGAACGGGAUUAGAGACCCCGGUAGUCCUAGCAGUAAACGAUGUAGACUUGGUGUCGGAGGUGUCAAAACCUUCGGUAUCGUAGCUAACGCGAUAAGUCUACCCGCCUGGGGACUACGGCCCGCAAGGUUAAAACUCAAAGGAAUUGACGGGGGCCCGCACAAGCAGCGGAGCGUGUGGUUUAAUUCGAUGUUUACACGAGGACCCUUACCCAGGUUUGACAUGUUGGUGGUAGGAAUUCCAAAUGGUGACCGACCCGCAUAGGGAGCUUCACAGGUGCUGCAUGGCCUGCCGCACUCGUGGUCGGGGAUGUGUC
Molecule: ribosomal RNA, 1064 nt
Filed under: denitrifying bacterium enrichment culture clone NOA_1_B8
Lineage: Bacteria
Description: bacterial SSU rRNA
Rfam family: Bacterial small subunit ribosomal RNA
Source: RNAcentral